AGAGUUUGAUCCUGGCUCAGGAUGAACGCUAGCGAUAGGCCUAACACAUGCAAGUCGAGGGGCAGCAUGGUCUUCGGACCGAUGGCGACCGGCGCACGGGUGAGUAACACGUAUGCAACCUACCCAUAACACUGGGAUAGCCCGUUGAAAGACGGAUUAAUACUGGAUAAUACAGGGGCACCACAUGGUGAUAUUUGUUAAAGAUUUAUUGGUUAUGGAUGGGCAUGCGUUGGAUUAGGUAGUUGGAAGGGUAACGGCCUCCCAAGCCUACGAUCCAUAGGGGAACUGAGAGGUUUAUCCCCCACACUGGUACUGAGACACGGACCAGACUCCUACGGGAGGCAGCAGUGAGGAAUAUUGGUCAAUGGACGAGAGUCUGAACCAGCCAAGUCGCGUGAAGGAUGAAGGUAUUAUGUAUUGUAAACUUCUUUUAUGUGGGAAUAAAGAUGGGAAUGUAUUCUCAGUUGCAUGUACCACAUGAAUAAGCAUCGGCUAACUCCGUGCCAGCAGCCGCGGUAAUACGGAGGAUGCGAGCGUUAUCCGGAUUUAUUGGGUUUAAAGGGUGCGUGGGUGGGCUUAUAAGUCAGCGGUGAAAUCCCGGAGCUUAACUCCGGGCCUGCCGUUGAAACUGUGAGUCUUGAGUGUGAACGAGGUAGGCGGAAUUCGUAGUGUAGCGGUGAAAUGCAUAGAUAUUACGAAGAACACCGAUAGCGCAGGCAGCUUACCAGGCCACAACUGACACUGAAGCACGAAAGUGUGGGUAUCAAACAGGAUUAGAUACCCUGGUAGUCCACACAGUAAACGAUGAAUACUAGGUUCGAUAUACCGUAAGCGCCCGAGCGAAAGCGUUAAGUAUUCCACCUGGGGAGUACGCCGGCAACGGUGAAACUCAAAGGAAUUGACGGGGGCCCGCACAAGCGGAGGAACAUGUGGUUUAAUUCGAUGAUACGCGAGGAACCUUACCCGGGCUCGAACGACAGUAGAAUAUGGUGGAAACAUCAUAGCUAGCAAUAGCUGCU
This 1019-nucleotide ribosomal RNA is filed under the name uncultured Bacteroidota bacterium. Its description in RNAcentral is "bacterial SSU rRNA". It matches the Rfam family "Bacterial small subunit ribosomal RNA", at positions 8 to 1031 of the family's 1533-position model. Lineage: Bacteria; Pseudomonadati; Bacteroidota. The record is from RNAcentral.